GGCGGAGAUAGUUGAAAAUCGGCCGUCGCGUGCACAUUUUGCCGAGCUCUGGUUUAGACGAUUCAAAGAUAACGAUUUUGACGUGAAUGACAAAGAGCGCCCUGGUCAGCCGAAAAAGUUUGAAGAUGGAGGAUUAGAAGCAUUACUGGAAGAAGAUUCAUGUAAGACACUUAAAGAGUUGUCGGAAACAUUAAGUCGAUAAGUCAACCGUUAGCAAAUGUUUGAAAACAAUGGGAAUGAUCCAGAAGCUAGGAAAUUGAAUUGAGGAAAAGACAUCGUGAAACGUUUAACUAUAUGUGAAUUGUUGCUUCAAAGACAAAAAUGAAAGCCGUUUUUAUGUCGAAUUGUGACUAGCGAUGAAAAAUGGAUUCGUUACGACAAUCCUAAGCGCAAGAAAUCAUGGGUGCGUCCCGGUGAACCAUCAACACCACGACAGGAUAUUCAUGGAAAAAAGAUCAUGCUGUACAUUUGGUAGGAUUAAGUCGGUGUAGUGUAUUAUGAGCUGCUGCAACCGAGUCAAACCAUUAAUGCUGAACGCUACCGAUGGCAAUUACUCAAUUUGAAUCGAGCAUUCAAAGAAAAACGUCCGCAAUACGCCAAAAGACAUAACAAAAUUAUUCUUCUCCAUGACAAUGAGACCACAUGUUGCAAAACUAGUGAAGGAAAUCUUGGAAACACUUGGAUGCAUAGCCUUUCUGAACAGCACUUCAGAUCUUUCGAAGAUAUCAAAAAAUGGCUCGAUGACUGCUGGAUCGCCUCAAAAGAGCUUGAAUUUUUCUAUCGCGGAAUCCAUGUGUCACCCGAAAAGAUUGGAGCUUCCGAAGGACAAUAUUUUGAAUAGAAUAUAAUGUAACGUUCUUUUGAAAUAAACAUGAGUGUUUAUUGUAAAAAAAACAAAUUUAUUGUAAUAAAAACAGGCAGAAUUAAUUCAAGCACCUAAUAUUUGACAGAUCUAUUUGAAAUUUUGUGUGUACUCGUAUGUAUUUAUAUGUUCACAUAAAUAUCUUCACAUAUUUACGAUACGAAUAUAUCUUAUCCAAUACAGUAUGAUUUUUCAAUUUAUGAAUGUUAAGAUUUCCCAGGAAAAUUUUCUCCGUAUAAAGCGUAAAAAUAUGAUAAGUAAAAUAAGUAGGCUGAGAAGUUGCGUAAAUAAUUAAACUUCAUCCUUAUUUGCUCUAUAAUGCUAAAACGUGCGUUGGGAGAAGUCAAUCUGCUAUUAGAAAAUAAUGUGUCGCUAAAAGGACAUGCAUUUUUUUGAAAAAUCUGAAUCUCGAAAUCAGAGAAGCGGGACAAUUCUCGUCUAUAAAUUUCAUGAUGUUUUGAGAUGAUUUUACCACACCUUCUGAAUUUUAUAAUUUUGAUUUUUCAUAACACAAUGCGUGUCCACUCACAGAAUGAGCGAUAAAAAAAGAAAAAAAGAAAAAAAUAAAUAAAACAAUUUAUGGUGCGAAAAUUCAGGAGUUUCUCGUGUUUUAUCGUGUUCAACAAUUUUUGUUUUUCUCUGUGGUAUCAGUUAGAAACCGAUAACACGUAAAACGAAUGUAAGGUGAUAAUCCAAUACUAAGUCGAUAAAUUUCGAAAGAAUGCGAUAACAGCACGAUACUCGCGAGUUUGACAUUUUACUGUCAACGUACACGCUGUGUGCUGCCAGUUAAUUUUACUACUGAUAUUUGUAAAAUAAAUUAUGUACAUAGAUAUAGACAUUUUACGUAAUGAGGAGAUACCCAUUUCGACGAAUCUCGAUGUCCGAUCGACCCGUUGUGUCGAAUAGCAGAAGUUAACCAUUUUGGCCGAAUCUCCGGGAAGAAAAUAUUCCUAAUAACACAGAUACCUCAAAUAAUAUAUUUAGCGGUUUUUUAAAUCUAAGUUGACACAAUGUGGAGAUCGAGAAUCGCAUUCCGAAAUGCAUGUCGUUGUGCAGGAUAUUUACUUCAAAUCUGAAAUUAGUGUUCUUACGUGUAAGAAAGCACCAUGUCAGUGCAUGUAAGCGAUAUACAUUUCUUAGAAUGAUUUGUGCUAGUUUGUCGAUCACAAAUCACCUUUCAGCCAUUCAGAUCUAUCGUUUUUGAUCCUUCAUCCUACCCAUGACGAAUAAUUUACUAUCUUCUACAUUAUUUUGUAAUUGUAUAUUUUAAGCGUUUGAAUGUAUUUUAAUCACUUUUGAAGGCUGAUUUUUACUGAAUUUUCAAGAUAGACAUCAUCUCGCUGGUCGAUACUAAAGAAUAUAACAAGUGAAUAACACAUUGAUCCAAUUGAUAUUAGUAAUCGAUCUUUUCAUUGAACAAAAUAGAGUAAUUUUUAAAGUUACGCAUAAAGUAAUAACUUACACAUAAUGGUCCACGUUGAUCUGUGAGAUUCUUUAAUCAAUUAUUCGUGAGAGAAAGAUUAUUUAUCAUCUUCUUUCGCAUAUAUUUUCCUUGAAAUUCGUCUCGUUAACGUCGACUUCGAGUAUAAAGCUCUAAGAAAACUUGAAAAUUAUGAUAGCUUGUAGAGAUUUACUCGCGCGAUGAAACGACACGUGCGAUUGUUUCCGAUUUGGAUCGAUGAUCAUCAGGUCGACAACGGUUCACUGCAAAUCUAAGUGCGUCGGUGGUAGUUAUGUUUAUAUGCAUAAGUGUGUGAUCUGGCUGAAGCUUUUGCAUCAUUCGAUAUGUUUAAAACGGCAAGAAAUGUUCAAGAGAAAAAAAGUCAAUGAUCAGAGCUUUCAGGUCAAUUAUACAUAAAAAAUUGUAAGAUUUUAUUAGCUUUUUGAAUCCAUAAUUGAUUAAGAUAGCCAGCAAGAUUAGAGUUAAAUUAAUUCGAAGAAACUUCAGCCAAAAUAACACUUAGGUUUAGAGUGUCGCAUAUCGAGGAACAGCAAUGGUUUGCACUUGAUAUUUUUACGUUAUCCACUCGCUUGAUGAUCCGAUUUCAUUUGUAUGGAUAAGCAUUAGUGAGAAAUUGAUGAAGGACCGUUUUGCAUCUUGUAUCCCCGAGAAUCGUUCAGAGGGAGUAUUCCUGACAUUCUCUUGCGCACGCUGAUCUAGUGUGUGCGUGCGUCCAGCGGACAUUUGCGUUAGAUGUAAGAGAUUAGAGAAUAGUAAAUACGACACGUACGACAAUCGCGUAUCGUGUGACACAACCAAAGACUUCACAUUCGCGUGUGAAACAGCAGUAUUUUAAGGGUCGUUCCCUUUUUAAUCCACUGUUAGUCGCCCUGUUCGAACCAGAUGAUAGUUUUACCAUGACACGACGAAAAUGUUUUCUUCGAGACGAGACGGCGACUUUCGCGAUUCCUCACUAAGACUAGCCGAAGAAAAGACGUGUGCAAGGUGAUGCGUUGAUAGUACAGUACCUUACACAAAAAGAAAAAGAAAGGAAAGGAAGGAUAACAGGCGAUGAGACGAAUGUGUGUCAACUGGAAGUUGUAUCACUCAGCAGAUUUGAUUACAUUGUUAUAAUCGUUGCCAAUAAGAAAAAGGGGCGACAUGAAUUGUGAAUUUACGGAAUACAUACAAAUGUAUUUUUCAGAUCGAGCUAUUUUUGAAUAAAAGGAGCGAAGAACAUCUCUUA
RNAcentral lists this long non-coding RNA (3552 nucleotides) under Harpegnathos saltator (Jerdon's jumping ant). Its description in RNAcentral is "uncharacterized LOC112588661". Lineage: Eukaryota; Metazoa; Arthropoda; Insecta; Hymenoptera; Formicidae. The record is from RNAcentral.